GACACAUGCAAGUCGAGGGGUAACAGGGAGUGCUUGCACUCUGCUGACGACCGGCGCACGGGUGCGUAACGCGUAUGCAACCUACCCUCCACAGGGGGAUAGUCAAUAGAAAUGUUGAAUAAUACCCCAUACGAUCUAAAGAUCACCUGAUCAAUAGAGGAAAACUCCGGUGGUGGAAGAUGGGCAUGCGUCCUAUUAGUUAGUUGGUGAGGUAACGGCUCACCAAGACUACGAUAGGUAGGGGUCCUGAGAGGGAGACCCCCCACACUGGUACUGAGACACGGACCAGACUCCUACGGGAGGCAGCAGUGAGGAAUAUUGGACAAUGGAGGCAACUCUGAUCCAGCCAUGCCGCGUGCAGGAAGACUGCCCUAUGGGUUGUAAACUGCUUUUAUACAGGAAGAAAUGUACCUACGUGUAGGUAUUUGACGGUACUGUAAGAAUAAGGAUCGGCUAACUCCGUGCCAGCAGCCGCGGUAAUACGGAGGAUCCAAGCGUUAUCCGGAAUCAUUGGGUUUAAAGGGUCCGUAGGCGGUUUUUUAAGUCAGAGGUGAAAUCCUGCAGCUCAACUGUAGCAUUGCCUUUGAUACUGAGAGACUUGAGUUAUUGUGAAGUAGUUAGAAUGUGUAGUGUAGCGGUGAAAUGCAUAGAUAUUACA
This 658-nucleotide ribosomal RNA is filed under the name uncultured Bacteroidota bacterium. RNAcentral describes it as "bacterial SSU rRNA". It matches the Rfam family "Bacterial small subunit ribosomal RNA", at positions 50 to 701 of the family's 1533-position model. Lineage: Bacteria; Pseudomonadati; Bacteroidota. The record is from RNAcentral.